CACUCCUACGGGAGGCAGCAGUGGGGAAUUUUGGACAAUGGGCGAAAGCCUGAUCCAGCAAUGCCGCGUGAGUGAAGAAGGCCUUCGGGUUGUAAAGCUCUUUUGUCAGGGAAGAAACGGUGAAAGCUAAUAUCUUUUGCUAAUGACGGUACCUGAAGAAUAAGCACCGGCUAACUACGUGCCAGCAGCCGCGGUAAUACGUAGGGUGCAAGCGUUAAUCGGAAUUACUGGGCGUAAAGCGUGCGCAGGCGGUUUUGUAAGUCUGAUGUGAAAUCCCCGGGCUCAACCUGGGAAUUGCAUUGGUGACUGCAAGGCUAGAAUCUGGCAGAGGGGGGUAGAAUUCCACGUGUAGCAGUGAAAUGCGUAGAUAUGUGGAGGAACACCGAUGGCGAAGGCAGCCCCCUGGGUCAAGAUUGACGCUCAUGCACGAAAGCGUGGGGAGCAAACAGGAUUAGAUACCCUUGUAGUCCC
Molecule: ribosomal RNA, 471 nt
Filed under: uncultured organism
Description: partial 16S ribosomal RNA
Rfam family: Bacterial small subunit ribosomal RNA
Source: RNAcentral